Non-coding RNA from Lolium perenne, 2657 nucleotides. Lineage: Eukaryota; Viridiplantae; Streptophyta; Magnoliopsida; Poales; Poaceae. The record is from RefSeq and is a predicted model, not a curated record.
GCGCGUGAGGUGAAAACCUAGAUCGGGAAACUACCCUCACCAAUCCGCAGCCUCCUCUUCUCCCCAAUCCCAACUCAUCCUCUCCUCCUCGCGCCUCCUCCUUUCCUCCCCGAGCCGCCGCCGCCGUCGUCGUGCCUCGCCCCCUCGCGCCUCCUCGUCCGCGUCCCCAAGCCGCCGCUGUUGCGCCUCUCCCCUCGAUCUACCAAGCGCCAUAGGUGGAGGAGCAGCGAGGGGCGGCGCUGGGACGGAGAUGGAGGAGCACGGAUUCAGCGCCGACCUACUUCUCGACGAAUUGGGCCAUUCGUGAGAUGGGGCGGGCGCGGUCUGUGUGAUGGCGCUGCUCCGUGAGAUCCAUGGACGGCGGCUCGGUGGCAGAAAGCAGGUGGUGCAGGCCCGACGACAGAGGAGGGAAGCCUCGGCCACGGCCAAGGUAGGCGAUGUUUGUCAUGGAUUUGAGCAAACGAAGAGUCAUAGGAAGGUGAUUUGGAGGAAGGAGGUGACCAUUACUUGCUAGAACUCUUGUGUUGGAGCCUUGGAGGAGGGUGAAUUUGCCAUCUAUAAUUUUGUACGAGUAAGAAGUAGAUCCAGUUGCUUUUUUCCUAAAUAUUCGGGGAGGACAAGAAUAUGGGGGAACUAGAGGAGAAUCAUGGUGGAAAAAAGUGUACAUAUCAAGGAGGUUGAUGGUGAAUGGGGCGAUUUUGGCAGGCGGGGGUGUCAUGUACAACAGGAGGAAGAAAGUGUGAGAUGGUUUUUUUUUGGCAAUGUCUCAGUUCGUUCUUGAGCAGGAUUCGGGGCAGGACAGGCGAAUCUUGUCGUGUCGGUCCUCCGCUGGGCAACGGCGCUGUGGUGGGUCAAAAAUCGGGGUCGGACGGAUGGGAUCUGGGGUAGGGCAGGCAGGAUCUCGUUGUGCCGGUCCUCCUCCGUGUUGCUGCUGCGCUGCUCCCUCCUCCUCGUGGCUGCCUCGUCUCCCCUAUGUCGUAUCUGUCCCCAGCCUCCUCUACACGGUCGAGUCCUGGCGUCAUGCUGCUUCUGCCCCGCCUCCUCUGCACAGCAUGACGCUCAGAUCCUUUUCCUCGUGCUCCUCCUCUCCCAGCGAUCCUUGUGAUUCCUUUUUGCUAAGAUGAGUUGGUAGCACUUUCAGGGACUUUCUCCUUUUAAUAAAUCGACUACGAGCUAGAGAGACUUACAGAAUGGUUGUUUUCUUGUUGUGUAGUCUUUUAUCAGUAUACUCAUUCAAGAACUAAUAGCUGAGCCUGCACUUGAUAAAAGUUUGCUUCUGAAGAUAUUUUUCCUUCCUGGCGGAUAUGUCACUGUCUUUAUUUAUUGUAGGACGAGGAAGAGGGUGGCAACGGGUCGAGAUGGAAAGGUUACUGCCAUACCGGAGGAUGGGCUGAAAUUUGAAGGUGAUCUUUUGGUUGGUGCAGAUGGCGUAUAGUCAAAGGUAACGAGUUACUUGCCUUGUGAAAACAGGAGCAAAGUUGAAAUGAUUGUGGUUUUUUUAGGAGCCUGAAUUGAGAUUUUCUUAAACUUAUAGGUGAGGAAGUCGCUUUUUGGGCAAGCAUAAGUAUCUUAUUUAUAAUACACUUGCUACACCAGAAUUGCAUAUUUUGUGCUUCCUGAUAUUUACAUGAUUGGGCAUGUAGGUAGGUCCAACAUGAAUACUGUUGUUUCCUUUGUUACAAUAUAAUAAUACACUCAUCUUCUAUUGAAGGUACCAUGUGUUACUUGAUCGCAAAACUAUUCCCCAUAUAUUGCUUACGAGUAAAACAAUAUUUGUCCAGUCAGAUAACUGCAUGAUCUACUCUAAAACCCCCUUCUUCUGUCAAGAAGGAUGCUGCUGAGGUUUACCCCCAAGUAAUUAGGUUGCCCCUUUGAACUUUAACUUUGCAGAGGCCUGGAUCAUGUGUGAAAUCGAGCGCUAAGCCAGCUCGAGUGAUGCCGGAUGACGAUGAGAAAAGCGUGCGGUGCAGCAGCUUGACAGGCAGCAGAAGUGCUGUUAAGACCACAAGCAUGGCUUCGGAGACAAUGCUCAUUGAACGACGACAAAAGAAGUUUUUCUCAGAUUUUGUUCCUGAAUAUCCUAAAACUGGGUUUAAGGAAAUGAUUGGCAAAUGUGGAAGAGCUGAUGAAGACUAUACAGAAUUCUCACUGUCUUAAUCAAGUAACCGGUACAAAAUUCUCACGUAGGUCCGCAAGGCGAGUUCAGAAAGCAUAUCCCUGAGAGAACUAACAAGAAAAGGGAUUGAGCUUGAGAGGGAAACACCACCAUCUCGAAAGGUGCCGAAGACCACAGGUUUUGGGAACCACAAGUCAAACAAGCGGGGGAAGCUCCACUAUAACCUUCUCAGACAAGGGAAAUCGAAAUAAGCUGCAAGUAGCGUAAGCUAGACCUAGCUCCUAUACUUCAUAUGUAUGCAUCUGAUCAGAUCUGUUCGUUGUUCCCUAGAUUAUUUUUAUAGUAGCAUGUAGCCAGGUUGAACCUGCAGUGCUAUAUCUUUUGUUUAACUUAGUGAGAGGCCUAUUUCUGCAUUCCAUAUCUUGCUCGGGGAAGUUUUCCUUUUUGUACUUUUUUCCUUCUGUUUGGUGGUGCUUUUUCUACCUUAUUAUUACUACCCUGAGCAUUACACAUUUGUUAAUCUGUUUUAAUAUGCCGUGCA